Molecule: ribosomal RNA, 834 nt
Filed under: uncultured bacterium
Lineage: Bacteria
Description: bacterial SSU rRNA
Rfam family: Bacterial small subunit ribosomal RNA
Source: RNAcentral
GAGGGGCAAAGAGGAAGCUGGAACGAACGGUGUAGUAGUGAAAUGCGUUGAUAUCGUUCGGAACACCAAUAGCGAAGGCGGGCUUCUGGGUGCCACCUGACACUGCUAGGACGAAAGCGUGGGGAGCGAAUGGGAUUAGAUACCCCAGUAGUCCACGCUGUAAACGAUGCACGUUAGGUGCUAGAGAGUAUCGACCCUCUUUAGUACCAUAGCUAACGCGUUAAACGUGCCGCCUGGGGAGUACGGCCGCAAGGCUAAAACUCAAAGGAAUUGACGGGGACCUGCACAAGCGGUGGAGCAUGUGGUUUAAUUCGACGGUAAGCGAGGAACCUUACCAAGGCUUGACAUAUACCUGCAAGCGCCAGAAAUGGCGCCGCCUUCGAGGGUGGUAUACAGAUGCUGCACGGUAGUCGUCAGCUCGUGCCGUGAGGUGUUCACUUAAGUGUGAAAACGAGCGCAACCCCUGUUAUGAGUUACAAGUGUCUCAUAAGACUGCCGGCGUCUAAGCCGGAGGAAGGCGGGGAUGACGUCAUAUCAGCGUGGCUCUUACGCCUUGGGCGACACACGUGCUACAAUGGGUUGGCACAAAGGGACGCCAAAGAGUAAUCUGGAGCAAAUCCUUAAAAACAACCCCCAGUUCGGAUCGAGGGCUGCAACUCGCCCUCGUGAAGCCGGAAUCGCUAGUAACCGUAGAUCAGCCUCGCUACGGUGAAUACGUUCUCAGGUUUUGUACACACCGCCCGUCAAGCCAUGGAAGCGGGAAGCGGAUGAAGCGCUCUUUUAGGGUUCCAAUCCGAAGCUCGUAACUGGGGCUAAGUCGUAACAAGGUAACCA